AUUGAACGCUGGCGGCAGGCUUAACACAUGCAAGUCGAACGGUAACAUGAGUGCUUGCACUUGAUGACGAGUGGCGGACGGGUGAGUAAUGUAUGGGGAUCUGCCGAAUGGAGGGGGACAACAGUUGGAAACGACUGCUAAUACCGCAUAAAGUUGAGAGACCAAAGCAUGGGACCUUCGGGCCAUGCGCCAUUUGAUGAACCCAUAUGGGAUUAGCUAGUUGGUAGGGUAAUGGCUUACCAAGGCGACGAUCUCUAGCUGGUCUGAGAGGAUGACCAGCCACACUGGAACUGAGACACAGUCCAGACUCCUACGGGAGGCAGCAGUGGGGAAUAUUGCACAAUGGGGGAAACCCUGAUGCAGCCAUGCCGCGUGUAUGAAGAAGGCCUUCGGGUUGUAAAGUACUUUCGGUGAUGAGGAAGGUGGUGUAUCUAAUAGGUGCAUCAAUUGACGUUAAUUACAGAAGAAGCACCGGCUAACUCCGUGCCAGCAGCCGCGGUAAUACGGAGGGUGCGAGCGUUAAUCGGAAUGACUGGGCGUAAAGGGCAUGUAGGCGGACAAUUAAGUUAGGUGUGAAAGCCCUGGGCUCAACCUAGGAAUUGCACUUAAAACUGGUUAACUAGAGUAUUGUAGAGGAAGGUAGAAUUCCACGUGUAGCGGUGAAAUGCGUAGAGAUGUGGAGGAAUACCGGUGGCGAAGGCGGCCUUCUGGACAGAUACUGACGCUGAGAUGCGAAAGCGUGGGGAGCAAACAGGAUUAGAUACCCUGGUAGUCCACGCCGUAAACGAUGUCGAUUUGGAGUUUGUUGCCUAAAGUGAUGGGCUCC
This 826-nucleotide ribosomal RNA is filed under the name uncultured bacterium. Its description in RNAcentral is "bacterial SSU rRNA". It matches the Rfam family "Bacterial small subunit ribosomal RNA", at positions 28 to 847 of the family's 1533-position model. The record is from RNAcentral.